UACGGAGGGAGCUAGCGUUGUUCGGAAUUACUGGGCGUAAAGCGUGCGCAGGCGGCUUCUCAAGUCAGGGGUGAAAGCCCAGAGCUCAACUCUGGAAUUGCCUUUGAGACUGAGUGGCUUGAGUACGAGAGAGGUGAGUGGAAUUCCCAGUGUAGAGGUGAAAUUCGUAGAUAUUGGGAAGAACACCGGUGGCGAAGGCGGCUCACUGGCUCGUAACUGACGCUCAUGCACGACAGCGUGGGGAUCAAACAGG
This 253-nucleotide ribosomal RNA is filed under the name uncultured bacterium. RNAcentral's name for it is "partial 16S ribosomal RNA". It matches the Rfam family "Bacterial small subunit ribosomal RNA", at positions 524 to 776 of the family's 1533-position model. The record is from RNAcentral.